UCUCCUUAGAGGACCACGGAUCCAACACUUCAGACUCGGCAGGCCUACUGGCUGUGCUAAAACUACUCAACCCUGCUGCUGUGGUGAGAAGACGGCUGCAAGGGCGCGGCUGCGUGCCAAUAAAGCUUUAUUUGCCAAAGACGCGGAGGGCCAGAUGUGGCCCUGGGCCGCAGUUUGCUGACUCUGGCUUAGCUCCUGGAAAUACCCACUUUAGAAAACAUACUCCACGUGCAUAAACGCACGUGUGCACACACGGAGGACAUGUUCCUUCCUGAUCCUUUUGGAACAAGUAUUUCCCUCUGCACCCGAGGGCCCUGAUGCUUGGUCUCCACAGACGUCGGCAAGGGGUGCUCGCUGGGGAGCCUCCUCAGCCUCUGGGUCAGCAGGACCCAGUCUGGCUGCUCCAACUGAGGUCAGCAAGAGGAGAAACAGAAACCCCUACUGGCGGCCAGAGGGAGGGGCCCAGGACCUCGGGUCUUCGACAGCCUCCUGGGAGCUCCGAGGAGGGACUUAAAGGGCCUGAGAAUCUGGAGGAGGACGCAACCCUAGGGGCUGCCAGGGAAAGAACAGGAAGCAGCCUGUGUCAACGUAACCCGAGGCGGGUGUUGAAAUCCAAAGAGGCGUCUCCUCAGUCUGAGGACACAUCGGGGGCCGUCAGCCGUUGACGGCAGCGAACAGCGCGGCAGAUAACCGACCUCUGUCUCCCGAGCCCUGGAGCUAAAGCCAGGCCUGUCCUGACAUCCCGGGCCAGAGGAGGCCAUCGGAUGCCUGCCGCUCACGUUUUCACAGACAGCGCACCCGGUACCAGACGGGGAGACAUUGGCCUGAA
This is a long non-coding RNA of Hippopotamus amphibius kiboko, 829 nucleotides long. RefSeq lists it as uncharacterized. The record is from RefSeq and is a predicted model, not a curated record. The transcript has 4 exons. Lineage: Eukaryota; Metazoa; Chordata; Mammalia; Artiodactyla; Hippopotamidae.